UACGGAGGGUGCAAGCGUUGCUCGGAAUUAUUGGGCGUAAAGGGUAGGUAGGUGGUCUCAUUUGUCAGAGGUGAAAGCCUUGGGCUUAACCCGAGAAGUGCCUCUGAAACGGUGAGACUGGAGUCCUGGAGAGGGUCGUGGAAUUCCCGGUGUAGCGGUGAAAUGCGUAGAGAUCGGGAGGAACACCAGAGGCGAAGGCGGCGACCUGGACAGGUACUGACACUCAACUACGAAAGCGUGGGGAGCAAACAGG
This 253-nucleotide ribosomal RNA is filed under the name uncultured bacterium. Its description in RNAcentral is "partial 16S ribosomal RNA". It matches the Rfam family "Bacterial small subunit ribosomal RNA", at positions 524 to 776 of the family's 1533-position model. The record is from RNAcentral.